Molecule: non-coding RNA, 8699 nt
Organism: Phalacrocorax carbo (great cormorant)
Lineage: Eukaryota; Metazoa; Chordata; Aves; Suliformes; Phalacrocoracidae
Source: RefSeq, a predicted model, not a curated record
AGCCCCCGGGCUUGUGUCAGCCCUGGUGUGGCCAGCAGGAGCCGGGCAGGGAUGGGGCCCCUGUGCUCGGCCCUGGGGAGGCCCCACCUCGAAUGCUGGGCUCAGCCUUGCAAGCAGUCCCGGCUUCAGCUGAGGAGCAGCGAGUCCGGUGUGCUCUGCGGAGCCGUCUGAGACCCAGCACCCUCCCCGUGAGCCCCAGCCAGGCAGGGUGAAACCCCGGCAGAGCCAGCGCAUAGCCAGGCCAUGGAGGACUGCAGAGCAUAGCCUUGAGCUGGUGAUGCUACCUCAGCUCUGAGCCUGUUCACGGCUUCAACAUCUCUCUGCUAAACCCUCCAGCUAUGUGAGUUUAGACUCAAUAUAUUAAAAUCCCAAAGAAGUACUUUGGAUGCCUGAAAUAUUUAUUUUGUUUCCUUUUAACUGGCCAUACCAGCAUCUGCAAAAAAAAAAACCAACCCUCUAAACACAAGACAAGAGCUCCAAAGCUACCAUUCCUCCUUUAAGCUUUGCAAGACAUACAUAAAAUACAGACUUCAAACAGCUGCAAAAAUAGUGUCUUUGGAAGAAAAUAGAGUUUCUACAUCAGAUACAAGAAAAUAUGCUUCUUCAAUACAACCCAGAGCCUUUGCAACAGACCACAAAAUCAAAUACUUUUGUUGUCAAGAGGCUUUUACAAUCAAUGUUCCCGUGUUAUCGCUUCACUUUCUAAGGCAUCACGUUGGGACAGCGCUGCUGGAUGUGGAAGCGCCUCAGGCGGCCACGGCUCCGUGCACAGAGCUAAGCCCUCGGUGAGGCAGAGGAGCCCUGGAUCCCCCCCUCCCUCCAUCCAGCCCGCCCCAGGAGCCAGCCCCAGCCAGGUGCUCUGGGCUCACAGCUGGAAAGCAGCAGGUAGUUUCUCUACAGCAGCAAAACACCCCCCUCGAGCAGGGACCUUUGUGCACUGCCAGUUUUCGCUUCCAUCCCCUCCUCCUGCAGCACGGCCAAGGCACCUGGAAGACCUUUGCCCACCCACAGGGAGACCAAGCCAGCAGCUCCCAUCUCAGAUGCUUCCUUCGCCCUCAGCCACGCAAGCUGCCAGAGCACACACCUGUGGAAGCCCGCAUUUAGUCACCUGCACUCUCCCUGUUUAGCGCAUGGCGUUGUUAAAGCUCCAGGCUUGUUUCGAGGGGUAAAGGUGUCCAGGGGAGGCACAGUCAGGGACCCGCUGCUCCCCAGCCCUCUCUGUGCUCCGAGGGAGAUGAGCCGUCUUAGCAGUGCAGAUGCACAACGUUUUCUGCUCCGAUACAUCCAAGGGAGGCCAUCCUCAGGCUCCUUCUACCCCCUUCCCGCUCCCCAGGGUUCAGCAGUCCCAGAGAGCUGCAGGGGUGACGGGUGCUCGAAGCCACACCUGAAAUCUCCCAGCUCAAACUUGCUCACAGAGCCACGGAGCACGAGUUUGCCUCCGCUCCCCACAGCGGUGCCCGGCUGCUCUUCACCAGCAGAACAAUCACACAGGAAACAAAGACAAUUCAACACAGGAAAGUGCUUUGAACAGGGGAGGCUCAGAGAAACCAUCCUCUUCAGCAGUGAGGAGUCCCAUGGCACUCUGUACUUCACAGUGUCUAUCAUCCUCAGAGGAAGCCUGCUGUGGUUCUCAAUACCAGGGCUGCCUCUCGGCUGUCACGUCCCACCUUCAAGGCACUGGUCUCCACAGGCUGGCAGAGACACGCUGAGGAGCCAGAGCUGCUGUUGCUGGCUAGGCUUCCCAACGGCUUCACACCACGAGAGAGCUGUGGAAGACGACGCUCUCCUCCGGCUGGCCGCGCUUCCAGUGUUCGUAAUUCAGUGAAGGAGACUUGGACACCUCGCCGAAGCUAUCUACCGCAGCGUCCUUCCGCACCCCAAGGAACGGGGCGGGGGCUGUGGGCUGGCAGGAUGUAAACGUGCCCGUGCCAGGGCUGGGAGAAGCUGGAAAGCCCCUGAAGAGGAAACCCACAUUUGGGAAGAGAGGCUUCACCAGGCUGACAGGGCAGAAGGCAGAACCGGUGGGGUUGAAGUGCACUUUGUUCUUAUCCGGGCAGGAAGGCCGAAAAGGCUGGUCAGGGCUGGGGGAGCUGAAGGAGAGACACAGAGUGGACACGAUUAGGAACAGAUAAUCCCCAGGGCACGGAGCAGACGGUGCCUGCAGCCACAGGGAAAACACCUGGAGUUGUGCACUCUUCAAAGGACCCGACUAAAAGCUGAACUGGCUCUGUGCUGGGCCGUUCUCCAGGCACAGAGCGGCAUGAAGGGCCUGUUUUGUUUUGAAAGCACACUUCUUAAUAGGAGAACCACCUCUUCUCCUCAAGAGGCUCUGCCGGCUGAGAAACCCCCGCCGGCCUGGGAAGGGCAGGGAAUCACAACAUCCUUCCGAGUGUGUCUGAGGGUCAGCAAAUUCAGCUUUCAGCUCUUCCCACCAGGACCCAGCAGCCACAUAUUUGUUGGGAGUGUUUUCCUACGCUCCCUACGCUCAAGAACAGGGCAGGGGUGGCAACUGCAGCAACAGAAGCCUCAGGUGCCCCCACCCCAGCAUCCUCCCACGGGGACCAACCUCACAGGAGUUCUCUUCUGCCAAUGACUCCUCAUACUUACGAAGCUUCUUCAAAGGCCCGGACCUUCUCACAUCCCUCAGGAGGUUCCCGUUUAAACAUGUAGCUGUGGUUGGGCCGAGGAGAAGAAGCAAAGGCCAGGACUGGUGAAGGGCUGCCCUCCUCUGGCAGGGAAAGAGAGACAGAUUUUGAGAAAUUUUUAAAAGAAUCCAACAGCGCUCUUUAACUCAACACCAGAUGUGCUCUUCUAGACCCUGGGGCUGCAGGCUACAAUAACCCCAAAGCUGCAGCGUUUAUCUGUGUAGCUCCCAGCUCACAUCCUCCAUCUAGUACUGGGAACCACCCACCUGGAGGAUAAUUACUGGAGCUUUAAAAAUCCACUACAGUUUAGCCAAGUUGGCCAAGACCCUCUCUCCCACCUCAGCUGCAGCUUCCAACCCACCACGCAGACAGGGAGGAGCCACCGCACCGAGGGUUUCACAGCACUGGCCCCUGUUGUCUCCCCUGACCUCCCAGCCCCUCUGCUUUCAGUAUUUACCUUUCUCCUUUAGAUCCGGCUGCACCUCAUCUGCUGCAGAGGAGGGCUCUUCCGCUGCCAGCCUUGCCGGGCUGUGUGGGGAAAGGCGGAGAGGCACGGAAGGGGAAGGAGAAAGAGAGAGGCUGCUACAGCUGCCACUGCUGGGCUCCAGAGUCAGAGACGCAUCUCCAGAGCCUCUCUGGGCCGGCGCUGGUGCCCUGUGGCCGUCUGGGACAUCCAGUAUCUAGGGAGGAAGCAAAGCCUUAGAGGAGCAAUGAACCCCUGUCAGCAGUGAAGGGGUUUAACAGCAGUUGCACCUACAGACAGCAGCUACUUGGGGUGCUGGAUCCAGACACAGGCAGAGCCUCCACACUUCAGGGAGCGAGGCAGCCUCCUGCAACCAGCAGGACAUCAGCCCUUCGGCAUCCUGAAGCGCACUUUGGUCUGUAAGCUAUCUGGGGUCGCCGCUCCAUCCGCACGGGGCGAAGCAGCCUUUGGAUGCCAGUCUAAGACAGCAUCUUACAGCUGUCAGUGAGGUGGCAUCUGUCCCGAGGUUACUACUAGCUAGUCUCUCAUAGCACCAGCAAGCUUUAAGAUGGGAAGCCAGCAGCCACUUGACUCAAUUUAGACAGUUACAUGCCUAAACAAACUAAAACUAGACACAGAGACGGUCCCCAUGGCCAAGAAACAGACCCAGGCAGUGUCUUUAGAGGAAAGGAUUUCCAAGACCACCCAGAAGAUCCAGGGCAUCUUGUGACCUUCACUUACCCGCAAAAGCUCUUCAUCUCCCUGUUCCUUCACAAACACUUCCUCCAAUUCCUGGUUUAGCCCUUCGAGGCUCCUAUGCAAGCAGGGGCUGAGCCUCAAAACAGGAGAUGGAGAAAGGAAGCCUGAAGAAGAGUCCUGUAACAAUCCAGAAUCGAAGCAGUUAGUUACAUCUGCCCAAACCCAGCGGUAACAUCCUGUUCCCACAGCUCUCCAGGGCUCAGCCAAAGCCUUCCAGGAGGCUGACGACAGAAGACUGACAGCAGUCUCAGGUAAGCUCACUGACUGCAGAUCGAAGCACAGGGUUGAAGAGGUGGGGGAAGAAGAGGAAAAACACAUUCUCCCUUCUCAGAUAUGAGAGGAGUCUGAGAACAGCUUGGCCACCUGCCCAAAGACGCUUGUUCUCCACCUCACUAGGACACACGGUGAGAGCAGAGCAGGGGGAGACGUGAACGUACCCUGAGCGAUCCAAGGACAGCAUGGUCCCCCUGGAGCGGGGAGCUCUUCUCCUUUUCUUUGCCACUUCUGCCAUUUAGCUUUGUUCGCUGGAGCUGUUGCUUCAGUUUGGCAAUCUAGCAAACAAAGUUUCAGCUACAGAACCAGACAGGCCAACACACCUCCACCAAAAAGGAUCAUGCCUUGUCUCUCUCCUCCCCCGCUUCCAACCCACAAGGAAGUGCCAAAAUAGAGACAGUUUCAGUCACACAAGCAGUGGGUCCGGCCACCUCUCCAAGGAUGGACCAGACGUACUCGCAAGGCCUUGUCACAAACUGCAAUGCGGCCAGUGCCCUUCCUCUAGCGGAUCUGGGUUAUCUUCCACCGACAGAGCAUUAGGAACUAGCCCCCGCUGGGACCCACACACACCACGACACCGACGAGCAAUGCACUGCGUUUCAGUGGAGCUACUUUACAAUAGCUGCCUGCUAGAGGAAGCCAGCAAGAUCAGUCUUUAGUUGAAUCAGAGAGCGUUAGGGAUGAGAACAAGGGCUAAGAUCUCAUCUUCAACAGUAUCCUGUCCUCCCACUCCCCUCCCAUGCAAGCAGGAGCCUCCUAUACAUUAGCAACUAACACAGAUCUUGCUCAAGCAUUGGGAGUGGUCUAUUUUACCUCUCUGCGGUGAUCUGUGCUACCCCAAGAAGCAGAACGCUUGUGAGCACUGGAGCUGGCUUUCCCCACUUCCACGUCAUGCCAGGACACUGGAGUCUGAAGUGAUGAGAAACACGGCUGAGAAUAAUCACAACAUUUACUGGUUUAGAGACUGGUGGUAGAGUCCUAAAAAUAAACGAUCAACUACCGCCCAUUCACAGUCCUGUUCCAGUCUCCCCCAUGAACAGAGUACUCAUAACGCGCAUUAAGAGAUAGCCGUCUAUUUAUAUUUGCCAAAACAAAGCCACUUUUGCCAGAUUUGCGCCUAUUGAGAAACUGGACCUCACAGACCUACAGGGCGAGACACCUGCCAGGAGUCAGUGGCUUAAUCACCGCAAGUACCUGGCGAGAUAAAGGGCACCAAGCCAUUACCCCAGAGAAACAACCACAACCGCCCCCCGCGCUGCUUGCGCAGGUUCCCGGCUGAUGAACGCUGACGUUGGGUUUCAGGCACUCGUUGUACGAAGCAUUACCGAGAGGAAAAGCCUCACCCAACUGUGAGAACACACAACUUGCUUCUGAGACCUCAGGCUCCCGUAUCGGAGUUCAAAGGCGUAACCAAAACCAGAGCUUGGCCUGCAGACUGGCUGCUGCUCUUGACGGAGCCCUGGAAAAACCCGGCUGCCUCUCCAGCUCACGUCCCUCCAUCUGCAGGGCUGGCAGUUCUCAGCUGACUCUCUUCAUGCAGGAAAACAGCCUCAGCGCCACAUUGCACAGCUGUUUUCCAAGCAACGGCUACAUUUUGAAUAUCAAUGGGAAUCAGAAAGGGCUGUUAAUCUGAUCAGCAAAGGGUGUGAACUUCCUUCCACUGAACUCAGCCCUCUCAGCAGAGGCUCCAGGAUCAGAACAGUCCCAAGGCACAACAUUUUCAAGCCCAGCCAUCAUUUUUUCCCCAACAUCACAUUUCAGUGCCUCUCAAAACGCUCACCCUGUGUCACUGCUGCCUGCCAUUUCUGUGGGAGGCUUUGGAUGAUGCUUCCCUCCUCCAUCCUCAGCGACAGGCUGCCAGAAGGUGCAAGGGCCUGAGAACAGUUCCUCUCCAAGCAGCUUGACUGAUCUCCCCAGAGGCUACUGCAAGAACAGCAGCUGUUUUAAACAACCCUGUUGAGUCAUGAGGAUGACAGGAGCCUCUUCUCUCAAAACAGGUUUUAAAAUCUAUUUAAACCAAAGGACCAAGGCAAGUUUCCUAGAGGGGUACCAGGUUUCCCUUCUGUAAUGGGGUACAGGUGAUUUCUAGGCCGAAAUCCAACCCUCACCUACCUUCACAGGCUCUGAAGGCAACCCCUCCUCAUACACACCACCAAGCAGAGCACGCUGCGUUCCCUACAGCUAAAACCAUUUGCAGCCUAGGUCUCCGUUUUGCAAUGCCUGUAAGCAGCAGUCGGCUCCGCACACAAGUUGUUCCACUCAAUUUAUGGUGUUCGGUUUGAGAGAAGAAACCCGUUCAGCCUGAGCCAUCGCUCUGCGGCCCCGCGAAGCUCAGCGCAGUCGGUCGCGGCCAUCCCCGCGCUACCCGGGCCGUGCCAGACAGAGCCGAUAGGAAACCCCGCGGCAAGGGCCAGCCUCGCGCUUUCAGCACACGGCACAUCUGAUCUCAUUUCCUACCUCAAACAUUCUCUCCUAAACAACUCAAACAUCAUUAUUUGGCCGUUAUCCCGAAACAUUGUGUCAUUUUAUAUCCCAGUAGAUCACGCACAUAACGAAGCUAAGGAGAUGAGGCCAAGGUCUACGAGACAAGACUGCAGCCCUGUCCCACGUUACUGCAAGAGGCAAGUCUGUGGGAAGCUGAACUCCAGCUGCUCAGAACAGCCCUGCUUUGCAGGACGUGACAGAAACUCUCAAGUCACUGGAAGCCUCCUGAGCCCUGUUUGAGAAGUCACUUAUUGCAGCCUAUUGCCGUGAUACCCAGAGAACUGAGCACCACAGCGGUGCUCGCAAAAGCCCUAGGGCCUAAAAAGGAAGAAAAGACGCUGUUUGCAAUAGGAAGGCCUGAAAAUGAAGAGCGCGUCCGCGUCCCACCUCUCGCAGGCAGACUGUCAAGGCAGAAGGAAGUUACAGAACCUUUUGUACUAACUGUGGCAAAACCGCUUCCUCAGAAAAAGGAGAGAAAGAAAUGCUUCGCACAGCAAGAUAAAGCCACAAGCUCCAAUCGUGUCUAGUGCUGCCAUCCUCACCCCCGCACUGAGCACCUGCAGUUCUAUCUCUCACUUAACCACCUUACGAUAGCAAAUCUACAGAGCUCUGCAAAACAGCUGAUCAGUAGCUGAAUAAGGAAGUAAACAUGUACUGGCUAGCAGAGAAAGUCCCAGGUUUGAUAACUAGUAAGCCUGAAAACAUGGAAGGAGCGGCGAAGUCCUGGAGGUUACGAUGAGGACGGUUUGGGGAUGCGCAGGGCAGCCUAAACCCGGGACUUUAUUCCCAGCUUUCAGCUGACAGACACCUUUGCGUGUGGAACAGGAGAUCGCUGCUCGCUUCACAGGCGUGUUGCAAGGUGAAAUUAGCACCUGCAGAACACUUGCAGAUAACUGAUGAAAGACUGCGGCACACCUGGCCUGUUCACUGCAUAGAGGAACCAUCAGCUCCCUGCUCAGCAGAGCCUCAAUUAACACAGUGGCGUCUUCCGUUCCAGGAGGAAGGAGGCACCCCUCUUCUCCAAGCCUUCCCCCAAAAGGGCCACAUACACAUGAGACUAAUUAGCCCCAAAACACUGGGGUUGGUUCAGCGUUCCCACCAUUGCUGAUGAAGACAGAAAGGAAGAGUGUGCUUCCCUGACUCAGAAAUAAAGUUAGACAAAUUCUUUCCCUUCCUUUCCAGCACGCCCUCUGCCCUCAGCAGCGCUCUUGGGCACUAGGACUGAAACAAAAGCAGGCAAGAGCACUUUGGAAAAUGACAAUGGAAGUUGGAAUCCAAUUAAGAAUUUCCUGCAAACAGCCCUGUAAUAAAUUGUUGAAUAGCGAAGAUAAAACAGCAAGUUAACAGAGAUUGAAUGUGCUAAAUAAACAACUUGUUAAGCAAGCAGAUGCUCUUAUCCUUCUAAAGUCUUUCACCUCCGCAGAUAGGCAAGCACUAUUUGCUGCCAUACAGUAAUAUUUACAGGUUGCUAAGAGUUCCUCGAGGUCUGGAGCUUUUCCAUUGUGCAGCGGAGCGCUGUGCGGUUCGUGCUAGCGAGCCCUUCUGUGGGAGCACCCUCGACUUCUCGCAGCCUGUGGCACGCAGCCCGCCAGCGUUAUAUAAGGACUUGGCCCAGAACUGCGAGCCAGAGGGGGAAAAAAAAGCAGCACUGAGCCAGUACUGGAGCAGAAAGCCAGAGGCCAUCUGCCUCCAAACAAGGCCAAGGAAAUUCUAACUCUGCACCAAAGCGGAAUCAAUUGAGGCUGAGAAGCAAAAAGGGAAAAGAAGCCUUCCUAGAAAGUUGCAGCUGGACGGAUGGAAACUUAACGCCUUCCCUGUUCGCCCCCAGUUUACAGAGCUUGUUUCAGUUCUGCAACCCUCUCCUGGCCCAGAGACCUCAAGGGCAGCCUGCAGGUGUUUAUACCUGGGUAGCUUUGUCAUUCAUGCACGAAGUGGAAGCUCCUUCAGCGUCCCGCGGCCACUGUCCCAACAGGUACGAGCCCACGAUGGUGUCCAGCGAAGACGUGCGCCGCACACGGGGCUGCCGGGGACGGCAGGGCUUCUCAACAGCAGCAGCACACGGAACACUAGCUAUA